CGAACGAGAAAGCUCCGCUUGCGGAGUGAGUAAAGUGGCGCACGGGUGAGUAACACGUGGAUAAUCUGCCUCUGAGCGAGGAAUAACUCGCCGAAAGGCGGGCUAAUACCUCAUAAUAUCUCAAAGACCUCGGUUUGCGAGAUCAAAGGUGGCCUCUGAUUACAAGCUGCCGCUUGGAGAUGAGUUCGCGGCCCAUUAGCUAGUUGGUAGGGUAAUGGCCUACCAAGGCGACGAUGCGUAGCCGACCUGAGAGGGUGAUCGGCCACACUGGGACUGAGACACGGCCCAGACUCCUACGGGAGGCAGCAGUGGGGAAUAUUGCACAAUGGGCGCAAGCCUGAUGCAGCCAUGCCGCGUGUGUGAAGAAGGCCUUAGGGUUGUAAAGCACUUUCAGCAGGGAGGAAGGCUUACCCCUAAUACGGGUGAGUACUUGACGUUACCUGCAGAAGAAGCACCGGCUAAUUUCGUG
Molecule: ribosomal RNA, 469 nt
Filed under: uncultured bacterium
Lineage: Bacteria
Description: bacterial SSU rRNA
Rfam family: Bacterial small subunit ribosomal RNA
Source: RNAcentral